GCACGCUCUGUUUGUACAUCCAUUCACACCUGUGCACCCUAUGUAGUUCUGUGGUUUGGGGGACUCUGUCCUCUCGCCGUGGUUCUAUAUCUUUACACACACUCUGUAAUAAAGUCUCAUGGAAUGUAUGCAGCGUUUAACGCAAUACAAUACAACUUUCAGCAACGGAUCUCUUGGCUCUCGCAUCGAUGAAGAACGCAGCGAAAUGCGAUAAGUAAUGUGAAUUGCAGAAUUCAGUGAAUCAUCGAAUCUUUGAACGCACCUUGCGCCCUUUGGCUAUUCCGAAGGGCAUGCCUGUUUGAGUAUCAUGAACACCUCAACUCUCAUGGUUCGCCAUGAUGAGCUUGGACUUUGGGGGUCUUGCUGGCCUGCUGUCAGCUCCCUUCAAUGAAUCAGCUUUCCAGUGUUUGGUGGCAUCACGGGUGUGAUAAAUAUCUACGCUUGUGUUUCCUGCCAGGUAACCUUCAG
RNAcentral lists this ribosomal RNA (468 nucleotides) under uncultured Tomentella. Its description in RNAcentral is "eukaryotic LSU rRNA". The stretch from base 154 to 308 matches the Rfam family "5.8S ribosomal RNA". Lineage: Eukaryota; Fungi; Basidiomycota; Agaricomycetes; Thelephorales; Thelephoraceae. The record is from RNAcentral.